RNAcentral lists this transfer RNA (73 nucleotides) under Aplysina fulva (scattered pore rope sponge). RNAcentral describes it as "tRNA-Lys". It matches the Rfam family "tRNA". Rfam says of the family: Transfer RNA (tRNA) molecules are approximately 80 nucleotides in length. RNAcentral also lists the same sequence under 1 other name. The record is from RNAcentral. Lineage: Eukaryota; Metazoa; Porifera; Demospongiae; Verongiida; Aplysinidae.
UGGUGUGAAACUCAUGUGGUAGAGUAAUAGGCUUUUAACCUGAUAGUUGUUGGUUCGAAUCCAAUCACACCAU